Long non-coding RNA from Xiphophorus hellerii (green swordtail), 617 nucleotides. RefSeq lists it as uncharacterized. The transcript has 2 exons. NCBI's taxonomy places the organism in Eukaryota, Metazoa, Chordata, Actinopteri, Cyprinodontiformes, Poeciliidae. The record is from RefSeq and is a predicted model, not a curated record.
UGUAACAAGUGUGUAAAACUGUUUAUAUUUCACCUCAAAUCCAUCCUCAUUACCUGUGUAUAUUUGUUUUUCUUAGUUUUUGAAUUGUAUUUUAUUUUGGCGGAGAAGCUUUUAUUUUCUUGUUUCCUGUCUCCGUGUCAUAUCCUGUGUGUUCGCGCUGCCCUCCUCAGUUCGCGCCAAGCUGCGCUGGGGAGAGGUAAGCGUACAAAGUUGUCUUGUGUUUGUCUGUUGAAGUAUUCAAAAUGUCCUUAAAAGUAUUUUUGCCAAACUCGCAAGUUUUUAUAUGUUGUUCCCCAACUGUUUUAUGUUUAGCGCAGCACUGUACUGGGCACUUAAUUCCCACGUUAAGGACAUUUAUUGAGUUUACCGUGCCAAUGUGGUUAUUUUUGUUCUUUUGAUUUGUUAAGGUGUGUGUGGGAAAGCCAGAGCCCAAGAACUGGAGUGCUGAUGCAUUUUUUGUUUUAAACAGAGAAUUUUGGUUGGUUUUACCACAGUCCUGAGUUCGCGCCAAGCUGCGCUGGGGAGAGGUGUGUGUGGGAAAGCCAGAGCCCAAGAACUGGAGUGCUGAUGCAUUUUUUGUUUUAAACAGAAUAAAUCUGCCCUACUGCUGCAAUACA